AGUCGCACGAGAAAGUUCCUUCGGGAACGAGUACAGUGGCGCACGGGUGCGUAACACGUAGCUAACGUGCCCUUUCGCUGGGGACAACUCCGGGAAACCGGAGCUAAUACCGAAUGAUCUGAUAGAAACUGCGGUUUUUAUCGGUAAAGCCUUCGGGCGCGAAAGGAGCGGGCUGCGGCCCAUUAGUUUGUUGGUGGGGUAACGGCCUACCAAGACUACGAUGGGUAGCUGGUCUGAGAGGAUGAUCAGCCACACUGGAACUGAAACACGGUCCAGACUCCCACGGGAGGCAGCAGUUGGGAAUAUUGGACAAUGGGGGAAACCCUGAUCCAGCAAUCCCUCGUGAAGGAUGAAGGCCCUCGGGUCGUAAACUUCUUUCAGUAAGGAAGAAAAAAAUGACGGUACUUACAGAAGAAGCACCGGCUAACUACGUGCCAGCAGCCGCGGUAAUACGUAGGGUGCAAGCGUUGUUCGGGAUCAUUGGGCGUAAAGAGCGUGUAGGCGGCAAGAUAAGUCUGGUGUGAAAGCCCGGGGCCUAACCCCGGAAGUGCACUGGAUACUGUCUAGCUAGAGGACGAGAGAGGAAAGUGGAAUUCCUGGUGUAGGGGUGAAAUCCGUAGAUAUUAGGAGGAACAUCAGAGGCGAAGGCGGCUUUCUGGCUCGUAACUGACGCUGAGACGCGAAAGCGUGGGUAGCAAACAGGAUUAGAUACCCUGGUAGUCCACGCCCUAAACGAUGGAUACUAGUUGUCGGGAUACCUAAUUGUCUCGGUAACGUAGCUAACGCGCUAAGUAUCCCGCCUGGGGAGUG
Molecule: ribosomal RNA, 810 nt
Filed under: uncultured marine bacterium
Lineage: Bacteria
Description: bacterial SSU rRNA
Rfam family: Bacterial small subunit ribosomal RNA
Source: RNAcentral